This 440-nucleotide ribosomal RNA is filed under the name uncultured bacterium. RNAcentral's name for it is "partial 16S ribosomal RNA". It matches the Rfam family "Bacterial small subunit ribosomal RNA", at positions 338 to 795 of the family's 1533-position model. The record is from RNAcentral.
CCUACGGGAGGCAGCAGUAGGGAAUAUUGCUCAAUGGGGGAAACCCUGAAGCAGCAACGCCGCGUGGAGGAUGAAGGUUUUCGGAUUGUAAACUUCUUUUGUUAGGGAAGAAAAUGACGGUAUCUAACGAAUAAGCAACGGCUAACUACGUGCCAGCAGCCGGGGUAAUACGGAGGGUGCAAGCGUUACUCGGAAUGACUGGGCGUAAAGGGCGCGUAGGCGGGAUAGCAAGUCAGAUGUGAAAUCCUAUGGCUUAACCAUAGAACUGCGUUUGAAACUGUUGUUCUAGAGUAUGGGAGAGGUAGGUGGAAUUCUUGGUGUAGGGGUAAAAUCCGUAGAGAUCAAGAAGAAUACUCAUUGCGAAGGCGACCUGCUAGAACGUAACUGACGCUGAUGCGCGAAGGCGUGGGGAGCAAACAGGAUUAGAUACCCCUGUAGUC